This 498-nucleotide ribosomal RNA is filed under the name uncultured bacterium. RNAcentral describes it as "partial 16S ribosomal RNA". It matches the Rfam family "Bacterial small subunit ribosomal RNA", at positions 29 to 523 of the family's 1533-position model. The record is from RNAcentral.
AUUGAACGCUGGCGGCAUGCUUUACACAUGCAAGUCGAACGGUAACAGGCCGCAAGGUGCUGACGAGUGGCGAACGGGUGAGUAAUGCAUCGGAACGUGCCCAGUCGUGGGGGAAAACGAAGCGAAAGCUGUGAUAAUAGCGCAUUCGAUCAGGGGAAGAAAGCGGGGGACGGUAAGGCCUCGCGCGAUUGGAUCGGCGGAUAUCAGAUUAGGUAGUUGGUGGGGUAAAGGCUCACCAAGACGACGAUCUGUAGCUGGUCUGAGAGUACGACCAGCCACACUGGGACUGAGACACGGCCCAGACUCCUACGGGAGGCAUCAGUGGGGAAUUUUGGACAAUGGGCGCAAGCCUGAUCCAGCAAUGCCGCGUGCAGGAAGAAGGCCUUCGGGUUGUAAACUGCUUUUGUGCGGAGCGAAAAGGCUCUCUCUAAUACAGGGGGCUCAUGACGGUACCGUAAGAAUAAGCACCGGCUAACUACGUGCCAGCCGCCGCGGUAA